Molecule: ribosomal RNA, 2223 nt
Filed under: Salmonella enterica subsp. enterica serovar Pomona
Lineage: Bacteria; Pseudomonadati; Pseudomonadota; Gammaproteobacteria; Enterobacterales; Enterobacteriaceae
Description: partial 23S ribosomal RNA
Rfam family: Bacterial large subunit ribosomal RNA
Source: RNAcentral
ACUGCGUACCUUUUGUAUAAUGGGUCAGCGACUUAUAUUCUGUAGCAAGGUUAACCGUAUAGGGGAGCCGGAGGGAAACCGAGUCUUAAUUGGGCGUUAAGUUGCAGGGUAUAGACCCGAAACCCGGUGAUCUAGCCAUGGGCAGGUUGAAGGUUGGGUAACACUAACUGGAGGACCGAACCGACUAAUGUUGAAAAAUUAGCGGAUGACCUGUGGCUGGGGGUGAAAGGCCAAUCAAACCGGGAGAUAGCUGGUUCUCCCCGAAAGCUAUUUAGGUAGCGCCUCGUGAAUUCAUCUCCGGGGGUAGAGCACUGUUUCGGCUAGGGGGCCAUCCCGGCUUACCAACCCGAUGCAAACUGCGAAUACCGGAGAAUGUUAUCACGGGAGACACACGGCGGGUGCUAACGUCCGUCGUGAAGAGGGAAACAACCCAGACCGCCAGCUAAGGUCCCAAAGUCAUGGUUAAGUGGGAAACGAUGUGGGAAGGCCCAGACAGCCAGGAUGUUGGCUUAGAAGCAGCCAUCAUUUAAAGAAAGCGUAAUAGCUCACUGGUCGAGUCGGCCUGCGCGGAAGAUGUAACGGGGCUAAACCAUGCACCGAAGCUGCGGCAGCGACACUCAGGUGUCGUUGGGUAGGGGAGCGUUCUGUAAGCCUGCGAAGGUGGCCUGUGAGGGUUGCUGGAGGUAUCAGAAGUGCGAAUGCUGACAUAAGUAACGAUAAAGCGGGUGAAAAGCCCGCUCGCCGGAAGACCAAGGGUUCCUGUCCAACGUUAAUCGGGGCAGGGUGAGUCGACCCCUAAGGCGAGGCCGAAAGGCGUAGUCGAUGGGAAACGGGUUAAUAUUCCCGUACUUGGUGUUACUGCGAAGGGGGGACGGAGAAGGCUAUGUUGGCCGGGCGACGGUUGUCCCGGUUUAAGCGUGUAGGUGUGUGUUCCAGGUAAAUCCGGUUCACUUUAACACUGAGGCGUGACGACGAGGCACUACGGUGCUGAAGCAACAAAUGCCCUGCUUCCAGGAAAAGCCUCUAAGCAUCAGGUAACAUCAAAUCGUACCCCAAACCGACACAGGUGGUCAGGUAGAGAAUACCAAGGCGCUUGAGAGAACUCGGGUGAAGGAACUAGGCAAAAUGGUGCCGUAACUUCGGGAGAAGGCACGCUGACACGUAGGUGAAGUGAUUUACUCAUGGAGCUGAAGUCAGUCGAAGAUACCAGCUGGCUGCAACUGUUUAUUAAAAACACAGCACUGUGCAAACACGAAAGUGGACGUAUACGGUGUGACGCCUGCCCGGUGCCGGAAGGUUAAUUGAUGGGGUCAGCGCAAGCGAAGCUCCUGAUCGAAGCCCCGGUAAACGGCGGCCGUAACUAUAACGGUCCUAAGGUAGCGAAAUUCCUUGUCGGGUAAGUUCCGACCUGCACGAAUGGCGUAAUGAUGGCCAGGCUGUCUCCACCCGAGACUCAGUGAAAUUGAACUCGCUGUGAAGAUGCAGUGUACCCGCGGCAAGACGGAAAGACCCCGUGAACCUUUACUAUAGCUUGACACUGAACAUUGAGCCUUGAUGUGUAGGAUAGGUGGGAGGCUUUGAAGUGUGGACGCCAGUCUGCAUGGAGCCGGCCUUGAAAUACCACCCUUUAAUGUUUGAUGUUCUAACGUGGACCCGUGAUCCGGGUUGCGGACAGUGUCUGGUGGGUAGUUUGACUGGGGCGGUCUCCUCCUAAAGAGUAACGGAGGAGCACGAAGGUUGGCUAAUCCUGGUCGGACAUCAGGAGGUUAGUGCAAUGGCAUAAGCCAGCUUGACUGCGAGCGUGACGGCGCGAGCAGGUGCGAAAGCAGGUCAUAGUGAUCCGGUGGUUCUGAAUGGAAGGGCCAUCGCUCAACGGAUAAAAGGUACUCCGGGGAUAACAGGCUGAUACCGCCCAAGAGUUCAUAUCGACGGCGGUGUUUGGCACCUCGAUGUCGGCUCAUCACAUCCUGGGGCUGAAGUAGGUCCCAAGGGUAUGGCUGUUCGCCAUUUAAAGUGGUACGCGAGCUGGGUUUAGAACGUCGUGAGACAGUUCGGUCCCUAUCUGCCGUGGGCGCUGGAGAACUGAGGGGGGCUGCUCCUAGUACGAGAGGACCGGAGUGGACGCAUCACUGGUGUUCGGGUUGUCAUGCCAAUGGCACUGCCCGGUAGCUAAAUGCGGAAGAGAUAAGUGCUGAAAGCAUCUAAGCACGAAACUUGCCCCGA